Pan troglodytes (chimpanzee) is the source of this 3830-nucleotide RNA transcript. It is a transcript of the gene named RAS guanyl releasing protein 1, with no coding region annotated. The record is from RefSeq and is a predicted model, not a curated record. Lineage: Eukaryota; Metazoa; Chordata; Mammalia; Primates; Hominidae. The transcript has 17 exons.
UGCGGUGCACCUCGGUCGGGCUCGCCGGGCUCGAGGGCGGGCGGGCGCCGGGGCUACGAGGCCCGGGGGGAGAGAGCCGGCAGGCGGCGGCGGUGGCGGCGGGGGCGAUGCGCCGUGCCCGGCCGCGCUAGGUGAGCCGGCACCGGGAGCGCGGGCCGCGGCCAUGGGCACCCUGGGCAAGGCGAGAGAGGCUCCGCGGAAACCUUCCCAUGGCUGCAGAGCUGCCUCUAAAGCAAGACUAGAGGCAAAGCCAGCCAACAGCCCCUUCCCCUCCCAUCCCAGCUUGGCCCACAUCACCCAGUUCCGAAUGAUGGUGUCUCUGGGACAUUUAGCCAAAGGAGCCAGCCUGGACGAUCUCAUUGACAGCUGCAUUCAAUCUUUUGAUGCAGAUGGAAACCUGUGUCGAAGUAACCAACUGUUGCAAGUCAUGCUGACCAUGCACCGAAUUGUCAUCUCCUCUGCAGAACUGCUCCAAAAAGUUAUCACCCUCUAUAAGGAUGCUUUGGCAAAGAAUUCACCAGGACUUUGCCUGAAGAUCUGUUAUUUUGUAAGGUAUUGGAUAACAGAAUUCUGGGUCAUGUUUAAAAUGGACGCCAGCUUGACAGACACUAUGGAGGAGUUUCAGGAACUGGUGAAAGCUAAGGGUGAGGAGUUACACUGCCGCCUGAUUGACACAACUCAAAUCAAUGCCCGUGACUGGUCCAGGAAACUUACUCAAAGGAUAAAAUCAAAUACCAGCAAGAAACGGAAAGUCUCCCUGCUCUUUGACCAUCUGGAACCAGAAGAGCUAUCCGAGCACCUCACCUACCUUGAGUUCAAGUCCUUCCGGAGGAUAUCGUUCUCUGAUUAUCAGAAUUACCUUGUAAAUAGCUGUGUGAAGGAAAACCCCACCAUGGAGCGAUCUAUUGCUCUGUGCAACGGCAUCUCCCAGUGGGUACAACUGAUGGUUCUCAGCCGCCCCACGCCGCAGCUCCGAGCAGAAGUCUUCAUCAAGUUCAUCCAGGUGGCUCAGAAGCUCCACCAACUACAGAACUUCAAUACACUGAUGGCUGUGAUAGGUGGGCUGUGUCACAGCUCAAUCUCGAGGCUCAAGGAGACAAGUUCGCAUGUCCCACAUGAAAUCAAUAAGGUUCUCGGUGAGAUGACUGAGCUGCUGUCCUCCUCCAGAAACUAUGACAAUUACCGGCGAGCCUAUGGAGAGUGCACCGACUUCAAGAUCCCCAUUCUGGGUGUGCAUCUCAAGGACCUCAUCUCCCUGUAUGAAGCCAUGCCUGACUAUCUGGAGGACGGGAAAGUGAACGUCCAUAAGCUACUGGCCCUAUACAAUCAUAUCAGUGAAUUGGUCCAGCUGCAAGAGGUGGCCCCACCCUUGGAGGCUAACAAGGACUUGGUACACUUGCUGACGUUAUCCCUGGAUCUUUACUACACUGAGGAUGAAAUCUAUGAGCUUUCCUAUGCCCGGGAACCAAGGAACCACAGAGCUCCACCACUAACACCUUCAAAGCCACCAGUAGUAGUGGACUGGGCUUCUGGAGUGUCUCCCAAACCUGAUCCAAAAACCAUUAGCAAACACGUCCAGAGGAUGGUGGAUUCUGUCUUCAAGAACUAUGAUCACGACCAGGAUGGAUACAUUUCUCAGGAAGAAUUUGAAAAGAUUGCUGCGAGUUUUCCAUUUUCCUUCUGUGUGAUGGACAAAGACAGGGAAGGCCUCAUCAGCAGGGAUGAGAUCACAGCCUACUUCAUGAGAGCCAGCUCAAUCUAUUCCAAGCUGGGCCUGGGCUUUCCUCACAACUUCCAAGAGACCACCUACCUGAAGCCCACUUUUUGUGACAACUGUGCUGGAUUUCUCUGGGGAGUGAUCAAACAAGGAUAUCGAUGUAAAGGAGAAUUCAGGAGUGAAAGAGAGGAAACCUUUUACUGCAAGAAAGAAAAUAAGACCUAACAGCUGAGUGUUUCCGGAGGGUCUCCCUAGAGUAGGCAGAAUGUAUGGGAUACCAGGACACCAUCUCUUCCCUCCAAGAUAUCAGGAUACUGCUUCUGAUGCUGAGAUUCACUGAUAAAGGGCUACAUCAAGAGUGUGAGCUCUGGGCUUCACCAAGUGAGAAGAAUGCUAGCUUCAUUAGGAAUGUUAAGUGUCUUAGCUCCAGAAGAUAGAACAGACAUGUGUGACAAGAAAGCACUGCAUGAAUUUGGUUGUGAGACACACUGGGGAAGAGAGAAAAGUGAAAGACUUCUUGACCCAGGAUGUCUUGUCCACAGACUGCGGGAUGAACUGCCACAAACAAUGCAAAGAUCUGGUUGUGUUUGAGUGUAAGAAGCGAGCCAAGAACCCAGUAGCUCCCACAGAGAACAACACUUCUGUGGGGCCAGUGUCCAACCUUUGCUCAUUGGGAGCCAAAGAUCUGCUCCAUGCACCUGAGGAAGGACCUUUUACAUUCCCUAAUGGGGAGGCUGUGGAACAUGGUGAGGAGAGUAAGGAUCGGACCAUCAUGCUGAUGGGAGUGUCCUCACAGAAGAUUUCUCUUCGGCUGAAGAGGGCUGUUGCCCACAAGGCCACCCAGACUGAAUCACAGCCUUGGAUUGGCAGUGAGGGCCCUUCAGGUCCCUUUGUGCUGUCUUCCCCAAGGAAGACAGCCCAGGAUACUCUAUAUGUGCUUCCCAGUCCCACCUCUCCAUGUCCUAGCCCAGUCUUGGUCAGAAAGCGGGCUUUUGUCAAGUGGGAGAAUAAAGACUCCCUCAUAAAAUCAAAGGAGGAGCUCCGUCACCUCAGACUGCCUACCUACCAAGAACUGGAACAGGAAAUAAAUACUCUGAAAGCAGAUAAUGAUGCCCUAAAGAUCCAACUGAAAUAUGCACAGAAGAAAAUAGAAUCCCUCCAGCUUGAAAAAAGCAAUCAUGUCUUAGCUCAAAUGGAGCAGGGUGAUUGUUCUUAGCCCAGAAACUAAGUAGCACAAUCUGUAGAUGAGUAUAGUGAUCUCAUUUCCUAAACUGUAAUGCACAGACCUGAGGAACUUUACACUGACCAGCUUUAAAACAGUACUUUAAAAGGAAAAGCCUGUUACUGUUUAUUUACCUAAAAGAAAGAGUCCUAAUGUGCAGCACUGUUUUCUCUUUCAGUUAGUUGACUCAAAGGGGGAAAACUAAAGAAUGCAAAACUUUUGCUAUUCAUACCACUGAUGUUCAUCAAAAGUAUGCGAUCUAAAACAUGACUAUCAUUUCCUGACAAUGGGGCAUCUCGGUGGCCUGCCUGGCUGAUUCUUCCUUAAAACUAAAAUCUCUGGAAAAUGUAUUUGCUUCUUACCCUGUGUUUUCUGCAAACUGACUUACUUUGUUCCAGCCAAAGCUUGCUAAUAAUAGAAAACUACCCAUAUUCCAAAAGUAGAUUUCCUCUGUAUCCCAGCAUACUUUGUGAACCUGGCUCCUUCUUCACUACCUCAGAUCUAAUCAAUUAGUCCAUGUACCCUCCUUCCUCACUACAGUCAUAACACAUGAGCAUAUCUACCUAGAAGCCAAUUUCUACUGACGUAGCCACAACUUUUUAGAGGCCUAUUAAACAUGACGUUAUCCAAUUGCAGGUCAACUUAUAGUUGUAGCCUUACAACUUACAGGCAUCAUAAAAUAAGUAAUCAAAUUAGGUACCUGGAAGCAUAGCUAUUACCAUCUCGUAUUACUGUCUAAUUAAAAUAAACAUAACGCAAACAUGUUUGUCCUUAUAUAUUCUACAGUGGAUAGAAUUAGGAAUUGAUGGCUUAAAAAAAAAGUCUAUGAAGAGUCUGUUUAACUCUUCAUGUUUCAUCUUUAUCUUCUGAAGUAAACUAUUUUGAAAGUUC